CUUUAAAGGGCUGUAUCUGCUUACUGUGUCCCUGCCCCUUAUCGCCCCCCUGUCCCGCCACCUGCACCGGUGUCUUAAAACAGCCUUCGAUCUAUACGCAAGGUUCCUAUUUGGCCUUAAAGUUGAGCAAAUGACGCGCUUCAAUUUCACCGUCUUGGAAGAGAGCUGGAUUCCCAUCCAGACACCACGUUCUCCUGUUCUUCGCGUCUCGUUAUCUACCUCCUCUGAAUGUAGCGGCUUUUCUGGAAUUGUAGUCUACUCAUUCAAGGAAAAGAGACAAUCUUCUUUUAGUUUUUUUUUCCCUCUUGGGCCAUUUUCAUUUUCUGCAUUGUGUUUUUUCCCCUUUUGAAGCAAAGUGACCAAAGUCUCUUGGCAAAGGCAGCCCUGCACAGCCGUGUGAAUUCAAACCUCCCUCCAAGUGUCAUUUUGAGCUCAGAGUUGUAUUUUUUUUCUCUCCCUCACUUUUCCGUUUAUUUAAACCAAGACAUGCCAAAACUGAAUUUGCUGUCAUUCCUGUUCUGAUGAGGGUCUUUUAUGUUGCCGAUUUUUAAAUUGUUCACAUCCACUGCUAAGCUCCUCGUGUCUUGUUGUUGUAAAGGUGUCAGCUUUGAUUUCUAUUCUACAUUUCCUUAUUUUUGUUAACAAUAAUGCUUACACAACACAAGAUAUGCUGUAAACCCCGUUAGGACAUAAUGUGAAUACGUAUCACUUAAUAUAGUUCACUUUUUGGCUUGACUGUAAGUUGCGUUAAUUAAUAAAAUGUUUCAAGUUUUCCUGUGACUUUUCUGGGGGGGUUUUCACAGCAGACAUUUGGACUCGUCAAAGUAAGAGCAGGCGCAUGUGUUACUUACAUUAACGUUGUUAUAUUCAGUCUUAACAGUGUGACGUGAGCCAGCAUGCACAAUACUACACAUGACAGGUAAAUGGGAUUCAACCAUUACUCGUUUUGUGCUUCUACCACCAUAACGUGUAGUGGGCAAUAAAUGGCAGAAACCUUUAAUGGCUUUAGAAAACUGUUUAAUUCAAGCG
Gasterosteus aculeatus aculeatus (three-spined stickleback) is the source of this 1029-nucleotide long non-coding RNA. The record is from Ensembl. NCBI's taxonomy places the organism in Eukaryota, Metazoa, Chordata, Actinopteri, Perciformes, Gasterosteidae.